ACCUUUGUACACAACACCAAAACUACCAGCACCAAUCUUGUUCUCUAGGGAGAAACUGUUGGUAGCUGCUAAUAGAUCAGAAAACGAGAAUUCUUCCGCUCUCUCUGCAUACUUUCCCGAGGUUCCACUCCUCUGACGACCAAAUAAACCCGAGGUUCCACUCCUCUGUCGACCAAACAAACCACCUGUCCCACUCCUCUGACGGCUCCAUCCUCUAGAACCCUGACGCCUAAUAGUGGAAGACCUUGAAGGCGGACUUCCAUUUGAAUUGGGAGCAUUAGAAUUAGUCCCAUUAAUAGUAGGUUGCACAGAAUUAUGAAUUUUCUUGUGCCCAAAACAAGCCCCAGUCCACAAACAAUAAAUUAUAGCACAAACAGAAAGCAGAGCACCAGCAGAUCCAACAAUAGCAAAUGCCAAUAAACCCUUAGAAAUCUCCUUACUUGGCGAAGACGGUGCAUCAUCACCCAAUGUAGGUGGUGAAACUGGCGGAAUCCUCUCCACGAGAUCACACCGGCUGCAUAUANUUAUUAGCAAUUUGGAAUAAUGAAUCAUUAAACUGUAUCAUUAUGUACAGACAUCUUGAACAAGCACAAAUAAACAUAUGAUUACAUGGAAAUAGAAACCAGAGGUUUCAAACUCAACUUUGAAGAAAAAAAUUAGUGUCAUAAGCCCUUUGUUGUGUCUCAGUGUUCACAAAAUCCUAACCUAGCUCAUGUUAGUUCUAAAGCCCUAAACCCUAUCUCUUACGGUCAGCAAGUAUACUGUAAAACGAAAAUGACUAAAGAAUCAAAUUGAAUAUCAAAGAAGUGGAUAAUUUACUCUGAAACGAUGGAGAUCGAACCACUAGAGAUGCUGCCAUGGCUAUCUUCACAUAAGAACAAUGCACGUUCCAAAUUAGAAACAAUGUCAGUCAUGGUUGGUCUGUCCUUUCCUUCCAAACUCACGCAAUGCAUGGCAGUGUAUCCCACCAGCUCUACUGCCUCAGCUUCAUUCAGCUGUGGCAGUCCAACUCUCGAGUCCAAAAUCUUCAUCAAUUCUCCUGACAUGAUGGCUGGAACAGCGAAGUCUACCAGGCUUGUUGGUUCACCUUCAUCUUUGUCGCUCUUGAAUAUGGCUCUUUUUCCAGUUAGAAGUUCUAGCAAUACCACACCAAGACCAUAGACAUCACUCUUUGCAGUUAAGACAUUCAGGCCAUAAUACUCAGGGUCAAUGUAGCCAACUGUCCCAGCUGCCUUAGUCGGUCUAUAAUCAUGGUCAGGCUCUGGACCAUUUAACGACAAUCCAAAAUCAGAUACUCUUGCAGUCCAGUUGGCAUCCAGCAAAAUGUUUGAAGACUUGAUGUCCCUAUGGAUUAUAGGUGGAACUGCAUAAUUGUGGAGAUACUCGAUGCCACGAGCAGCAUCUAGUGAGAUCUUGAUCCUCAUUUUCCAAGAAUUUAGUAAGGCGCUAUUGUUUCCUACAUUAUUCUUAUGCAAAUGAUCAUGAAGUGCACCAUUCUUCAUGUAAUCAUACACCAAAAGCUUCUCAUCCCCCUCUUCGCAGUAACCAACAAGCCUGACCAAGUGCUUGUGAUGCAGCCUAGACAAGAAUGCCAAUUCUGAAUCAAAAGCACUCUCUUUCUCUUGAAACUUCUUCAAAAUUGUACUUGUAUCUCCCCUUUUAAUCGCAACCUCGCGACCAUCUGGUAACUUACCUUUGUACACAACACCAAAACUACCAGCACCAAUCUUGUUCUCUAGGGAGAAACUGUUGGUAGCUGCUAAUAGAUCAGAAAACGAGAAUUCUUCCGCUCUCUCUGCAUACUUUCCCGAGGUUCCACUCCUCUGACGACCAAAUAAACCCGAGGUUCCACUCCUCUGUCGACCAAACAAACCACCUGUCCCACUCCUCUGACGGCUCCAUCCUCUAGAACCCUGACGCCUAAUAGUGGAAGACCUUGAAGGCGGACUUCCAUUUGAAUUGGGAGCAUUAGAAUUAGUCCCAUUAAUAGUAGGUUGCACAGAAUUAUGAAUUUUCUUGUGCCCAAAACAAGCCCCAGUCCACAAACAAUAAAUUAUAGCACAAACAGAAAGCAGAGCACCAGCAGAUCCAACAAUAGCAAAUGCCAAUAAACCCUUAGAAAUCUCCUUACUUGGCGAAGACGGUGCAUCAUCACCCAAUGUAGGUGGUGAAACUGGCGGAAUCCUCUCCACGAGAUCACACCGGCUGCAUAUAUUACCAUUUCCAGAACACAACGUCUCGGACUGCGGAUACACACCACACUCGCAUUCCUCCUCAACACAAGACCCUGGCAAAAUGUUCCCCAACGAAAC
RNAcentral lists this long non-coding RNA (2312 nucleotides) under Daucus carota (carrot). Its description in RNAcentral is "long non-coding RNA (DCAR_LNC002437)". The record is from RNAcentral. Lineage: Eukaryota; Viridiplantae; Streptophyta; Magnoliopsida; Apiales; Apiaceae.